This 309-nucleotide ribosomal RNA is filed under the name uncultured eukaryote. RNAcentral describes it as "partial 18S ribosomal RNA". It matches the Rfam family "Eukaryotic small subunit ribosomal RNA", at positions 1470 to 1796 of the family's 1831-position model. The record is from RNAcentral.
CCCUUAGAUGUUCUGGGCGGCCCGCGCACUACAAUGGCGUGUGCAGCGAGUGCCGAAGUAGAGUUUUCCGAGGUAUUCUUGCAAUGCUCGUUUUGAUGGGGAUAGACCCUUGCAACUGUUGGUUUUGAACGAGGAAUUCCUUGUAAGCAUGGUUUAUCAUCCGACGCUGAAUGCGUCCCUGCCCUUUGUACACACCGCCCGUCGCUCCUACCGAUGAGUCGUCCGGUGAAGUUCGUAGACCUCGUGAUCGCGGAUCACUGGGGGAAGCAAAAUGAACCUCGCGGUUUAGAGGAAGGAGAAGUCGUAACA